GGGGCAGUAGCUCAGCUGGGCAGAGCGCGACGAUGGCAUCGUCGAGGCCGAGGGUUCAAGCCCCUCCUGCUCCACCA
Molecule: transfer RNA, 77 nt
Filed under: Candidatus Omnitrophota bacterium
Lineage: Bacteria; Pseudomonadati; Candidatus Omnitrophota
Description: Candidatus Omnitrophica bacterium (groundwater metagenome) tRNA-Ala
Rfam family: tRNA
About the family: Transfer RNA (tRNA) molecules are approximately 80 nucleotides in length. Their secondary structure includes four short double-helical elements and three loops (D, anti-codon, and T loops). Further hydrogen bonds mediate the characteristic L-shaped molecular structure. tRNAs have two regions of fundamental functional importance: the anti-codon, which is responsible for specific mRNA codon recognition, and the 3' end, to which the tRNAs corresponding amino acid is attached (by aminoacyl-tRNA synthetases). tRNAs cope with the degeneracy of the genetic code in two manners: having more than one tRNA (with a specific anti-codon) for a particular amino acid; and 'wobble' base-pairing, i.e. permitting non-standard base-pairing at the 3rd anti-codon position.
Source: RNAcentral